RNAcentral lists this ribosomal RNA (945 nucleotides) under Enterobacter mori. RNAcentral describes it as "bacterial SSU rRNA". It matches the Rfam family "Bacterial small subunit ribosomal RNA", at positions 90 to 1032 of the family's 1533-position model. Lineage: Bacteria; Pseudomonadati; Pseudomonadota; Gammaproteobacteria; Enterobacterales; Enterobacteriaceae. The record is from RNAcentral.
GACGAGCGGCGGACGGGUGAGUAAUGUCUGGGAAACUGCUGAUGGAGGGGGAUAACUACUGGAAACGGUAGCUAAUACCGCAUAACGUCGCAAGACCAAAGAGGGGGACCUUCGGGCCUCUUGCCAUCAGAUGUGCCCAGAUGGGAUUAGCUAGUAGGUGGGGUAANGGCUCACCUAGGCGACGAUCCCUAGCUGGUCUGAGAGGAUGACCAGCCACACUGGAACUGAGACACGGUCCAGACUCCUACGGGAGGCAGCAGUGGGGAAUAUUGCACAAUGGGCGCAAGCCUGAUGCAGCCAUGCCGCGUGUAUGAAGAAGGCCUUCGGGUUGUAAAGUACUUUCAGCGGGGAGGAAGGCGUUGAGGUUAAUAACCUCAGCGAUUGACGUUACCCGCAGAAGAAGCACCGGCUAACUCCGUGCCAGCAGCCGCGGUAAUACGGAGGGUGCAAGCGUUAAUCGGAAUUACUGGGCGUAAAGCGCACGCAGGCGGUCUGUCAAGUCGGAUGUGAAAUCCCCGGGCUCAACCUGGGAACUGCAUUCGAAACUGGCAGGCUAGAGUCUUGUAGAGGGGGGUAGAAUUCCAGGUGUAGCGGUGAAAUGCGUAGAGAUCUGGAGGAAUACCGGUGGCGAAGGCGGCCCCCUGGACAAAGACUGACGCUCAGGUGCGAAAGCGUGGGGAGCAAACAGGAUUAGAUACCCUGGUAGUCCACGCCGUAAACGAUGUCGACUUGGAGGUUGUGCCCUUGAGGCGUGGCUUCCGGAGCUAACGCGUUAAGUCGACCGCCUGGGGAGUACGGCCGCAAGGUUAAAACUCAAAUGAAUUGACGGGGGCCCGCACAAGCGGUGGAGCAUGUGGUUUAAUUCGAUGCAACGCGAAGAACCUUACCUACUCUUGACAUCCAGAGAACUUUCCAGAGAUGGAUUGGUGCCUUCGGGAACUCUGA